Long non-coding RNA from Amblyraja radiata (thorny skate), 78 nucleotides. RefSeq lists it as uncharacterized. NCBI's taxonomy places the organism in Eukaryota, Metazoa, Chordata, Chondrichthyes, Rajiformes, Rajidae. The transcript has 3 exons. The record is from RefSeq and is a predicted model, not a curated record.
UUAUAAAGAAAUCCCACCAGUGCCUUUACUUCCUGAGAAGAUUGCUGACAUUCGGUAUGUCAGAGAGGAUUUUCUUGA